Molecule: long non-coding RNA, 604 nt
Organism: Suricata suricatta (meerkat)
Lineage: Eukaryota; Metazoa; Chordata; Mammalia; Carnivora; Herpestidae
Exons: 3
Source: RefSeq, a predicted model, not a curated record
CAUUGGUGGUAUCAGAGGAGACAAAACCAAUCAACUGAGGAAAACUGAUGGAAAAUGUAAACCUGUAAUGAAAUGAGUAAAACAGUCUACGGCCAUACCACCCUGAACGCACCUGAUCUCGUCUGAAAUGAGAAAAAAGUUGGAGGAAAUAUUUUAUGGAUUCACAGCAUUUCUAAACUCAGCGGUUGGUCUUACAAGUUUUUUACUUGUUGCUGAGGAGACAUCAACACCAAAGAAGGAUCAGGGAAGGAAAAGAAGAAUAACUGGUUAGAAAUGGAAGUUUCCCAGAGAAAAGCUUAUAAAGAGGGAGAAGAUGAGAUUAUGGAGAUGAGGAAUGUUGUAUUUCAUUUUUACUUGCGACUUCAGACUGAUGCUUCAGUAACUGGGCUAACAAAUAUAGGUAGGACCCAGAGCCAUGACAUACUGCAGAUGGACAGAGUCCCAGACUCAUCUGUGUAAACAAGUCAAUAAUGAUGAUGUUUCAAAAAAGUACAACAGUCACUGAUACUAGAAGAAUUCAGAGCAAGCUCUUUUAUCAUUGCAUGAAAUGUUAAAGCAUAUUAAUUUUACCCAAACUACUUAAUCCAUUGACUGAUUUUUAUGG